RNAcentral lists this ribosomal RNA (343 nucleotides) under uncultured bacterium. Its description in RNAcentral is "bacterial SSU rRNA". It matches the Rfam family "Bacterial small subunit ribosomal RNA", at positions 8 to 350 of the family's 1533-position model. The record is from RNAcentral.
AGAGUUUGAUCAUGGCUCAGGACGAACGCUGGCGGCGUGCUUAAUACAUGCAAGUCGAACGGAGUUAAGGGUUUCGGCCUUUAACUUAGUGGCGAACGGGUGAGUAACGCGUGAAUAACCUGACUCAAAGAGGGGGAUAACAACGGGAAACUGUUGCUAAUACCGCAUGAGACCACAACACCGCAUGAUGAAGGGGUCAAAGAUUUAUCGCUUUGAGAGGGGUUCGCGUCCCAUUAGGUAGUUGGAGGGGUAACGGCCCACCAAGCCAACGAUGGGUAGCCGAGCUGAGAGGCUGAUCGGCCACACUGGAACUGAGACACGGUCCAGACUCCUACGGGAGGCA